ACAUGAAUAGCCCAGUCGGUAGAACAUGAGACUCUUAAUCUUCGGGUUGUGGGUUUGAGCCCCAUAUUGGGUG
Non-coding RNA from Podarcis lilfordi (Lilford's wall lizard), 73 nucleotides. Lineage: Eukaryota; Metazoa; Chordata; Lepidosauria; Squamata; Lacertidae. The record is from the annotation of a GenBank genome assembly.